GCCAAUUCGUGUGGAUUGGACACUUCAAAGAAAGCCUAGCUCCCGCUGGGGAAAGAGAGAGAGGGUGGGUGGGAGAAGAGAACAAAAACUCGAGGGAGGGCGUAGAGAGAGAGAGAGAGAGAAAGCUGUGGCCUUUGCGUGGGGAAGCCAUUGCGGGUGCAGAGGAGGAGGAAAAGUAGGAGGAGGAGGAGGGAGGAGCAUGGAGGAGAGAGUGAAGGGUGGAGGCGAGCCAUUGGAGGUGGUGGAGCAGCAGGAGAGGGCAGCGAGGCUGGCCAAAAGGAGAUUUGGCGCCGUGGGCCCGCCGCCCUCCAGCUGAGGAGGAAGUGGCGAGGGAGGAGGAGGAGGUGGCGGAGGAGGAUCUCCUCUCACGUCAAAGAGUAGGAGAAAGCAUAAAGGGAGGAGGAGGAGGAGGAGGAGAGGGGGAAGGGGGAGAGCUUCCAGGCCGCACAAAGCGAGAAAAAAGCUUCAGAAAGAAAGAAAGAAAGCGAGUAGGAAAGAAGGCUUCAGAGGAAGAGCAAGGCAUCCAUCCAGCCAGUGGUGUCGUGAUAAAUAGCGGCUCCGAGCCGAGGGCAUCCGGUGCUCUCGCCACUACUGUGCAUUGCCUUAGCUUCUCUCGCGCUCCUCCAUUGAAGUAGCUAGGUGUGUAGCAGCAGCAGCUAGCCGGGUGUUGUGUUCGAGCUUGGUGGUGAUGGCAUUGCAAGAGCAGGAAGAGGAGGGCGGCGAUCAUGGCAAGGAAGAAGAAGAUGAGGAGGGGAUGAUGAGGGUGUGGGGGAGCUGAUCCCUCCUUGUCCCGAGGUGUGCUGUCCACUUGUGGAGUAGUAAGAUAUUGGCACAAUAGGCUCAAUCACUUUCUUUUUUUUGCCCUUUUCUUCUUGGUUUGCUGUUCUUCCCCUAAUUCAUCAUUACAUACUCUUCCUCGUGUAAUCUUGUUCCCGUUUGCUGUUU
Long non-coding RNA from Panicum hallii, 945 nucleotides. RefSeq lists it as uncharacterized. NCBI's taxonomy places the organism in Eukaryota, Viridiplantae, Streptophyta, Magnoliopsida, Poales, Poaceae. The transcript is spliced from 2 exons. The record is from RefSeq and is a predicted model, not a curated record.